Molecule: unclassified non-coding RNA, 278 nt
Filed under: plant metagenome
Description: partial contains small subunit ribosomal RNA and internal transcribed spacer 1
Source: RNAcentral
AAGUCGUAACAAGGUUUACCGUGAGGUGAACCUGCGGAAGGAUCCAAUUGACCAAAAUAAAAGGGUCGUGGUAGGAAGUGGGGUCUUGAUCUGUAAGUGGUAGGGCGAACAGUCCGGCUGCCUCCCGAAAUGUCUUACAUGUCCCCCCACAGCCUGAAGGCCGAAUUUACAACCCUUGAUUAUCUACACUUUGUUUGCUUUUGGGGGUGCUCAAGUGCCCCAGAGGACCCAACUCUCUUGCAUUUUAGUGACGUCUGAGUACUAUAUAAUAUUUAAAA